AGUGAACGCUGGCGGUAGGCCUAACACAUGCAAGUCGAACGGCAGCACAGUAAGAGCUUGCUCUUACGGGUGGCGAGUGGCGGACGGGUGAGGAAUACAUCGGAAUCUACUUUUUCGUGGGGGAUAACAUAGGGAAACUUACGCUAAUACCGCAUACGACCUACGGGUGAAAGCAGGGGAUCUUCGGACCUUGCGCGAUUGAAUGAGCCGAUGUCGGAUUAGCUAGUUGGCGGGGUAAAGGCCCACCAAGGCGACGAUCCGUAGCUGGUCUGAGAGGAUGAUCAGCCACACUGGAACUGGGACACGGUCCAGACUCCUACGGGAGGCAGCAGUGGGGAAUAUUGGACAAUGGGCGCAAGCCUGAUCCAGCCAUACCGCGUGGGUGAAGAAGGCCUUCGGGUUGUAAAGCCCUUUUGUUGGGAAAGAAAAGCAGCAGGUUAAUACCCCGCUGUUCUGACGGUACCCAAAGAAUAAGCACCGGCUAACUUCGUG
RNAcentral lists this ribosomal RNA (492 nucleotides) under uncultured bacterium. Its description in RNAcentral is "partial 16S ribosomal RNA". It matches the Rfam family "Bacterial small subunit ribosomal RNA", at positions 29 to 507 of the family's 1533-position model. The record is from RNAcentral.